RNAcentral lists this ribosomal RNA (1306 nucleotides) under uncultured bacterium. RNAcentral's name for it is "bacterial SSU rRNA". It matches the Rfam family "Bacterial small subunit ribosomal RNA", at positions 28 to 1381 of the family's 1533-position model. The record is from RNAcentral.
AACGUACGCUGGCGGCACGCCUAACACAUGCAAGUCGAACGAAGUAGCAAUACUUAGUGGCAGACGGGUGAGUAACAUGUAGGUAUCUGCCCUUUGGCCUGGAAUAACGCGAGGAAACUUGUGCUAAUACCGGAUAAGUCUUUACGGAGAAAGCUUUAUGCACCAUUGGAUGAGCCUGCACUUGAUUAGUUUGUUGGUGGGGUAAUGGCCUACCAAGACUGUGAUCAAUAGCUGAUUUGAGAGGAUGAUCAGCCACAUUGGGACUGAGACACGGCCCAAACUCCUACGGGAGGCAGCAGUGGGGAAUCUUGCACAAUGGAGGAAACUCUGAUGCAGCGAUGCCGCGUGAGUGAAGAAGGCCCUUGGGUUGUAAAGCUCUUUCGUCGGGGAAGAAAAUGACUGUACCCGAAUAAGAAGGUCCGGCUAACUUCGUGCCAGCAGCCGCGGUAAUACGAAGGGACCUAGCGUAGUUCGGAAUUACUGGGCUUAAAGAGUUCGUAGGUGGUUGAAAAAGUUAGUGGUGAAAUCCCAGAGCUUAACUCUGGAACUGCCAUUAAAACUUUUCAGCUAGAGUAUGAUAGAGGAAAGCAGAAUUUCUAGUGUAGAGGUGAAAUUCGUAGAUAUUAGAAAGAAUACCAAUUGCGAAGGCAGCUUUCUGGAUCAUUACUGACACUGAGGAACGAAAGCAUGGGUAGCGAAGAGGAUUAGAUACCCUCGUAGUCCAUGCCGUAAACGAUGUGUGUUAGACGUUGGAAAUUUAUUUUCAGUGUCGCAGGGAAACCGAUAAACACACCGCCUGGGGAGUACGACCGCAAGGUUAAAACUCAAAUGAAUUGACGGGGACCCGCACAAGUAGUGGAGCAUGUGGUUUAAUUCGAAGAUACGCGCAGAACCUUACCAACACUUGACAUGUUCGUCGCGACUCUAAGAGAUUAGAGUUUUCGGUUCGGCCGGACGAAACACAGGUGCUGCAUGGCUGUCGUCAGCUCGUGUCGUGAGAUGUUGGGUUAAGUCCCGCAACGAGCGCAACCCUCACUUUUAGUUGCCAUCAUUAAGUUGGGCACUCUGAAAGAACUGCCAGUGAUAAGCUGGAGGAAGGUGGGGAUGACGUCAAGUCCUCAUGGCCCUUACGUGUUGGGCUACACACGUGCUACAAUGGUAUCUACAACAGGAAGCGAAACUGCGAAGUUAAGCAAAUCCCUAAAAGAUACCUCAGUUCGGAUUGCACUCUGCAACUCGAGUGCAUGAAGCUGGAAUUACUAGUAAUCGUGGAUCAGCGUGCCACGGUGAAUGCGUUCCCGGGUCU